AUUGAACGCUGGCGGCAGGCCUAACACAUGCAAGUCGGGCGGUAACAGGAAUCAGCUUGCUGAUUCGCUGACGAGCGGCGGACGGGUGAGUAAUGUCUGGGAAACUGCCUGAUGGAGGGGGAUAACUACUGGAAACGGUAGCUAAUACCGCAUAACGUCUACGGACCAAAGUGGGGGACCUUCGGGCCUCAUGCCAUCAGAUGUGCCCAGAUGGGAUUAGCUAGUAGGUGGGGUAACGGCUCACCUAGGCGACGAUCCCUAGCUGGUCUGAGAGGAUGACCAGCCACACUGGAACUGAGACACGGUCCAGACUCCUACGGGAGGCAGCAGUGGGGAAUAUUGCACAAUGGGCGCGAGCCUGAUGCAGCCAUGCCGCGUGUAUGAAGAAGGCCUUCGGGUUGUAAAGUACUUUCAGCGGGGAGGUAGGUGUUGUGGUUAAUAACCGCAGCAAUUGACGUUACCCGCAGAAGAAGCACCGGCUAACUCCGUGCCAGCCGCCGCCGUAA
This 506-nucleotide ribosomal RNA is filed under the name uncultured bacterium. Its description in RNAcentral is "partial 16S ribosomal RNA". It matches the Rfam family "Bacterial small subunit ribosomal RNA", at positions 30 to 523 of the family's 1533-position model. The record is from RNAcentral.